CGCAAGCCUGACGGAGCAACGCCGCGUGAGGGAUGAAGGCCUCUGGGCUGUAAACCUCUUUUAUCAAGGAAGAAGAACUGACGGUACUUGAUGAAUAAGCCACGGCUAAUUCCGUGCCAGCAGCCGCGGUAAUACGGGAGUGGCAAGCGUUAUCCGGAAUUAUUGGGCGUAAAGCGUCCGCAGGCGGUUUUACAAGUCUGUCGUUAAAGCGUGGAGCUCAACUCCAUUUCAGCGAUGGAAACUGUAAGACUCGAGUGUGGUAGGGGCAGAGGGAAUUCCCGGUGUAGCGGUGAAAUGCGUAGAUAUCGGGAAGAACACCAGUGGCGAAAGCGCUCUGCUGGGCCAUAACUAACGCUCAUGGACGAAAGCCAGGGGAGCGAAAG
Molecule: ribosomal RNA, 383 nt
Filed under: uncultured bacterium
Lineage: Bacteria
Description: bacterial SSU rRNA
Rfam family: Bacterial small subunit ribosomal RNA
Source: RNAcentral